This 1807-nucleotide long non-coding RNA is filed under the name Olea europaea subsp. europaea. The record is from RNAcentral. Lineage: Eukaryota; Viridiplantae; Streptophyta; Magnoliopsida; Lamiales; Oleaceae.
CUAAUCAUUGCCCAAUACAAAAAAUAUGUACCAAACAUACUACAAGGAUGACAAGGAUUAUAUCAAUCCUUAGGAAUUCCUUGUUUUAAGCAGAGUUCCUUAGUGCCCUUUGCCAAGGCUUACGCCUCUGCUUAGAAAAAGUCAAAAAAUAUUAUUCCACCUUUAUUCAUUCCUAUAUUAUCUACAGCUGAUUUCAAAAAUAUAUUGCAUGCUUUCUUGAUACUGUGCUGCAUAUGAAUCACACGUAAUUCUGCUACCACUAACCAAAUAUAAACUCCCUCCAACCCCCACGUCCGAGAAAAAGAAAAACCUUCAUAGGCAAAAGACAUACUUAAAUACCAUUCUUUAGAUAGAGACAUGGAAUAUGUACACAUUUCAAUGUUGAUGACCAAAAUCAAAAGGUAAUAACGAAGUCUCAAUUUUUUUUAUGAUUCUUCCAUCACUAAAACAAACUCUACCAAAAUAACCGUUUGCCCUAAAAUUUGGAAAGAAAUUGAUUUUCAAGCAACAUCUCAAAGUCUAGUUAUGUCACUUCCUCUCAGGACCGCAUCAAGACAUGAUUGGCAGCAGAAUAAGAGAUAGUUAUUUUAAAUGAAAUGGGAAAUAGUUAGGUGGGCCUUGCUUAUUCAUAACUUCAAAUGUAUGAACUACAACAUUAAAGAGUUCAUGAUAAAUUAAACUUCAAAAAGUCAACAUUUCACAAAAAAAUUAUCCUCAGGACUGAUUGUCUACACCAAAACUAAGGUCUCCAUGGAUCUUCGAUUGACUUCAGAAGCUUAUGAAGCUUAGCAAACCAAAUGAGACAUGCCCCAUACAUGGACACAUCAAAAAUUGUUUCAACUCGCUCAAUUUAUCGCCAUUUACUUAUCUGUAUCCCCGUUCUCAUCUUUACCAAUUUCCUCUCAAACACAAUUACCCAUUUUGAAAUAUACUUAUGUUAUUUUCUCCAUCUCUUUAUCUAGUACUCUUUAUGCAAUUAUGGAAAUCAUCAAAAAGUCAAUUCAAUAAUUCUGCCAAGACUGAGAUAUGAUCCCAUAAUCAUAUUAGAAUAUGUAUGCAAAAGAUAGCCAUGAGACACCUAAGGCUAGGACACAUUUUCCUCAUUUAUAUUACAACGCUUUUUAAAACAAUAAAUGAAUGGAGAAAUUAAUAAUGCCAAAAGAAUAAAAUAAAAUACAAACUUAGGAGGGCAUAACAUAUAGCCAAACACAGAGCAGCAUAAUAAACCACUCAGGUGAACACAUGCCUCGAUGAGAUAAAUUUUUAAUCAAAUUAUAAAAGCUCACAAACAGAUUUAUACUUUGACAAAAGAAACUUCAGCAACUAUGCUUGAUUAAGAAAUGAUAUGGCGACUUGCAAAUUUAUCACAGAUAUCAUUCUGUUAUGUACUGCUCAACAAGGCAGAAGACUUGUAUUACCUCAAAAAUGGAACGGCGUUACUAUCAUGCAAGCAAUCUAAAUCUUCAAAAUGAGUAGAACCAAUUCAAUAUCCAAUAUGGGUCAGAUCUCCAAUAUAUUCUGCAAUUUGUUCAAGCUGAACAUUGAGAAACUCCUGUGUGUCGGCAUCCUGAACUAAACCUAUCUCCUUCUCCAAAUCUUGCUCCUGCAAACUCCCAUACACGCCCUUGUGCCUACCAUACAAAACUAGUAAUUUGCCUCUACGUUUUGGAACCGCAGUCUCCAAUAAGUCCUGUUACACUCCUUGUACCAACUCCCCACUCUCAUCCAUUGAUAUAUCACAAAACCCAGGCCCCACCACAUCUGUCACCACCCCCUUUUGCAAGUACAAUCUCCCAUCCUUCAAUGU